GAAAUAAUUCUAUAACAUCAUCUUCAUUAGGAAGCUUAUCAAGUAUAAGACCCGAUGUGGUGGUGUACUUACUCCUUGGGAUCUCAAAUUUGGAAGGUAUAAUUAAGAUAUCUUCAUUUUCAUCAGGUUUUUUCUUUUGAAUAGCAAAGUAUAAACAUAAGCAUGCAGUGAAGAUGAUGAACAGGAGAAAUCGGUUUGAGGUGUAGGAAAUCUUCAUUUUUUGUUAGAAAAAAGUUGAAGAUAAAACUUUGUGUGUUUUUUAAAAGUCAGUUCCACAUAUUUAUAGAAUAUAAGUUAAGAUGUCAAGUUCUACUUCACAGAUUAUAUUUUUUGAUAUCCUAAAGUUAAUCAUUAGCCAAUUUUAUAUGAACAUUUGAAAGAGCCUGAGAUCACCUCUUUCCAUUUUCAUGCUUUGAAUAUCUAUAUUUUUUUUCUAUUUUGUUUUUCAAAACUGUCCAACGAUUACAAAUAAAAAAAUAAAAAAUUAAUGCUGUCUAUGCGUUGUUUACCUAAGUAUCUUUGAGAAAUAUUUAAAUUGGGGAGUUAAAACCAUAAGAAGUAGAAGAUGAAAGAUGGAGAAAUAAUAAUAAUAAAAAAAUUACAAACAUAAAAAAUAGAAGAUGAAAAAAGACGAAGAAAAAAAUAUACAAAAUUCAUAGAGUUUUUGGUUAUACAAUAUUAGUUUUAAAAAAUUAAAUGUUUUUAUGAGUAAUUUUUUGUCUCACAUUAAACAUGAAAAAAAGUUAUGAGGCACUUACUUUAGAAAAUGCUACUAUAUACAAUACUGAAUUUUAAAUUUUAAGAAUAUUUUUUAUAUGAAUUAUUUUUAUUAGAUUUUUUAAUUUUUUUUCUCUAAUAAAUAUUUUCAUUUCUUUUACUAUUUAUCUUCUUUUCUUUAUUAUUUCUUCUCUCACAUUUCAUAUUUUUAUUUGUAUUUAUGCACACUAUAUGGAAAACGAAGCAAAUAAAGGUUAGUGACUAAGAUUAAUUUAGAUGUCAUUAAAUUUUUUCUAUUUUUAUUAUUUAUACACUUUUUUAAUCUUUUAUUUUUUACCAUCUUUGCAGUGGUGUGUGUAACCUAUACAUCCUUUUUGAGAGUCGACGGAAGAAACACUGGAAUUGAAGAUAACGGUAAAAUGAACGAAUAACUGUAAAAUGAACCGAAAAAAAUAAGAUUCACCAAUUUAAGAGGAUCAUAUAGGAUCUAGAUCUGUACUAUUUUUUCACUUUGAUCUAGUUUUUCAUUUUUGAUCAAUUUUCUCAGUUUGAUCAACAUAUAUUUUAUGUCAGACUCUUAAAAUUUUAACCACAAAAACUUUAACUUAUAAAAACACAAUACUUAUUAAGAGAGAUUUUUUCAUAAAAAUAAGUACGUGUUUAUUUUAUUCGAACUUUAUUUUAUUGAUGUUUAUUUUAUAUAAUUAUAUAUUAAUUGUGUCUAAUUUAUCACUUAUUUAAUUUAAAAUUAAACACAAAUAUAUAUUGCAAAAUUUAGUUCAUAAAUAAUUUAAAUUAGAUGGAAUCCGCAGUCUCUUUUUAUAAUCACAUAAUAGUCUUAUUUUAUUGUGUUCAAUGAGAGAUCUUAAUAUAUUCAAAUCAAAAUGUCAACGGCUCUUAUUAUAUUACAAAUAUUUAUUGCAAUAGAAUACAAGUUAGCUUCCACGAAGAACAAUGCUAACAUGUAACCUACUCUGGCUACUUAAUUGGUUUGUAGAACAAUGCUAACAUGUAACGUACUCUGGCUACUUAAUUGGUUGGUGUAUCGUUUUUGCAUUUUAAUUGUCAAUUUUUUUACACCAACGCUAUUUUAUCUACUAAAUCGAUUAAUCUGAUUUGAGAUCAGUUCUGUCGUUAAAUUGUUUCAACCAAUCAAAUUGUCACAUUUUUACUAAAAGAUUUAUCAAUGCAAAUAAUUGUAAGAUUUAUCAUGUCUCUUUUGAUUCUAUAAUUUAUUUUUCAAAAAUACUAUAAAGUUUAAAUUUUAUUUUUUGAUAUUAUUAAUAUUAAAUAAAAUUAUUCAGAAUAUUUUACAAUAUAUUUUUGCAAAGCUAAAUAACUGAAAUUAAACAUUUAUGUAAAUUUCUAUUAAAUAAAUUAAAACUAAUUUUUUACAAUUUUCACAUAAAAUAAAAAGUUUUCACUUCCUAUAUUUGAAUUUUUCUCAAAUAAAAAUAGAAAAUGUUUAUGUCAAUGCAUCUACAACUUUGAAUAUUAUGGUAUCUUCACUUUCAUGUAUCUUCAUCUAAAUUAUUCCUGAAAUCAUAGGUAAAUAUUCAUCAAAAUAUAUACUUUAAAAUAACCCUAAAUGUAAGUUUUAACAUGUUGCAGACAUAAUAUGAAGAGAUCUAAAUUUAAUUUGUUAUUCUCUCCGAUAUGAUAUGAAGAGAUGUAAGUUUUAACAUGUUGCAGAUAAAAUAUGAAGAGAUCUAAAUUUAAUCAGUUAUACUCUAUAAUAUGAACAGAUGUAAGUUCUAACGUGUUGUAUAGACAAAAAUAACAGUUAUUCUCUACAAUAUGAAGAAGAGAUGCAACUCGACUGCAAUAUCAACAUUGGCAAAAUCCUCUAAGUUUUUUUUCGAUUCUAUUUCAUUUCAAAAUUCAAAUAAAUCAUUUUCAAUUAAAAUCAUUUUUUUAGUUAAUAAGAUUGAUUGAUUGAUUAAUUUAAUAAAAUCUGAAUUAAUUAAUUUCAUUUCUAUUUGAUUGCCUAAUCAUGCAUUGCUAAUCAUGGCUUACUUGUGCAUUUGAGGUCAACUCUGCAAUUAAGUAAUAAGACAGAUUAAAAUAAACAUUUUCACUAAACACAUCCAUUGGUCCAACACCAAACGAAUCUUUUCUCAAAAUAUUUCAUCUGUUUCGAUUCAAUUCAAAUUCGAACCUCUUUCUCAAUUAAUUACAAUUCCAGUCCAAGCCAAUUUCAUUAUCGACUUCAAACCAUUUCAAAACUACUUUCAUAACCAAACCAUAUCAAACUCAUUUUCACAACAACACUGAUGAAAAUGGAAAGAUGGAUGUAAAGUUUCUCUUUCCCCGAAUAUUUGAGCAAUGUUGUAGAGUUAUAUGUCCGAACAUUCAUCUUCCAUUCUAAAAACACAUUAAUUAUUAGGACUAAGUUUGAUUCUCUUAUAAAAUGAAAAAGACUGAUUGGGUUUAGACCUUCCUUAGUCUUUGAUUAUUUGGACACUACUGUAGAGUUCCCUGUGCGAAUAAUCGUCUUCCAUAAAGGAACCAUGACUUAAUUUGCCACAUAUUCUUUCAUAAUAUUUGAAAAGAAAAAGGAUUGAUUGUGUUUAGACCUUCCUCAGUCUCCGAUUAUUUGAACACAGUUGUAGAGCUCCCUGUUUGAAUACUCAUCUCCCAACUCUAAAACAUACUCAAACACAUUAACCAUAAUUCCUCUCCCCUGUCCGAUCAUCAACUUCUUUUUGCAAAAGGACAUUGUUUAGUUCAUUCUAAUAUGAAUACAAACUAAUGCUUAAGUCUCCACCGCGAGCAAGCAAGCCCAUGUUUAACCAUUAUAAUAUGAUCUAAGCACUUGCUCAUUAAAACAAAAUUCAAUCAAUCAAACUAUAUUUUCUCGCCCCCGUGCGAUUGAAAACCUUUUCACAAAUGAACAUUGUUUAGUCCUUUCAAACGCGUAUACAAACUAGCACUUAAGUCUCUCAUGCACGAGCAUACAACUAAAUGUUUAAACUGCAAGAACGCGGUCAAAUAUAAUCCUUUCUACCGCAAAAAAAAAACUCUAAGUCUCUCAUCUGCGAGAAAAAAAAGUCAAUGUUUAACCGUUAGAAUGCGACCUAAACAUUCAUCCUUUAAAAUAAAUCAACCAACACUCGUUUUCUACCAAGAACUACAUAACUUUGAGUUCUCCAUAGCAUUCGGAGAUACAUAGGAGUGAGAUUCACGUCUCGUCAAGCACUAUAACAAAAAAAAACCAAAAAUAUAUUUUGUCUUUGCCCCAAACUACGAAGUUUUGAAUUCCAUUGUACCAGAGGAUACGAAGGAGCAAGACUCGCAAUCUUGUCAAGCACCAUAAUAAAAACAUUUUUGCGACCCUUAUUAUUUUCCUUUUGCAUUUUUAUCAUUCCAAGAAAAUAAUUAACAUAAGCUAAUAUUCAAUCGCAAGUUUAACUAAAAGGUUCCUUUUGAGUACAACAGACGUGACGUAUGCUAAUACCCGCCCAUUGCUUAAUCGACUCCCUAACCCGAAUAUGGUUGCGACGACCAUCUUCUUUUCUUUUUAAAAAGUUGUAUCGAUAUUUCCCUUUUUCUUUAUUGGAAUAAAUAAAGUUCGGUGACAACUCUAUUCGAAUCAUUUUUUCCACGACCAUCUCGAAGGAUCGUAUUUUUUGAAAUGCGAUAAGAGGGAAUUUAGUUUUCAAAAAAAGUGAGGAAAACAUAAAUUAAUUUAGAGUAAGAGGGGUAAUUUGGAGUAACAGGGAGAAGUAUGAUGCAAAAUUAGAUUUUUUUACCUCAAAUGUAUUAAUUCUGAAAAGUCAAUUCCCAAUAUAUCCAUUUUUAAAAAAAAAAUCCCCUUGUUUCUAAAAAUGGUGGUCCAUUCAUUAGUCGAGGAUGUGCAUGAGUUUUUUUUGUAAAGAGAACCCUCGGCCAAUGGCCGAGGAUGUGCAUGGGCUGAUGUACAUUAAAAUAAGAAUCAAAAUCAAAAGUAAUAAAAUAUUCAAACCCUGGUCCAAUGAAUGGUCGAGGGUAUACAUAAAAAAAAAUUUAGGGGCACUCGACCAAUGAAUGAACGAGUCUCUUCUUCAAAUAGGAUAUCAUGGAAUUUUUAUUUUCUAACGGAAACAAAUUAAAAAAUUUGUUUCAGAAAGAGGGUAAGACAGGUAAAAAUUUGCAAAAUUGAAAUAAGUUAUGUAAAUUAUUAUAAAUAUGUCAAAAAAAUCUUGUUAGACUUUAAUAUAAUUUAGGUUUUUCCUUAUUUAGUAAUGCAAGUUUAGUCUAUCAAAUUUUUAUCUAUUUUUUAUUGAAUUCUUAUAUACAAAAUAAAAUACUAAAAUAUAUAUUGUGAUCUAUAUAUUUUAUUUGAUUGAAUCAAAUUAAAUUUAUCUCUAUUAAUUAAUUUACUCAACUUAAUAUUUAAAAAUUAAAAUUUUAAUCAAAUUUAUAUUUAUAUUUUUUAUUAAUUAAAAUUUAUAAUUUUUAAUAUAGAUACCAAAUUUUUUUUAAUAAAAAGAAAUUAUUUAUAAAAUAAUAUAUUAUUGAUUUUUAUAAAAAAAAAAUGUUACUCUAAUAUAAAAAAAUGAAAGCUAUAGUGUUAUCAAAUAUAAUUUAAGCUAGAAUGUCAAUAAUAUUUUUCAAGUUUUAAAGUUUUGUUUAACAUAAAAAAGAAAUGUUAGAGAUGAAAUAAUUCCCUUACAAACUUCUUUAUUGGUAAGGGGUAUCAUAUUUAUGACACAAUAUGUCACGGAAGUAUUAGAGAAGAAUAAAAUUUAAAAAUCUCUCACUGAAUUUAAUCUUACAAAAUUUUGAGGGAUUUUAUGAAGAAUUUUUUGUGACGGAAUAAUUUCACCUCUAAUGUUUAUCCAUUUAAAUUUUAUGACGAUUAUAGUUUUUUCUCACUAAAUUCAUAGAAGGAUUUAUUUUCCUCUGUAAUUUCCGUCUCUAAAUUGCAUUUUUUUGGUAAUGAUUGUUAAGGCAUGCUUUGAUUGAUUGGCAAAGUUUUCAUGAGGAUUAACGAUGUUUCAUAUGGAUAGGUGAAUUGACAAUAUCUUAUUCGUGGUUAGUAUAUAAAUGGAUAACAAAGAUUUAUUACUUAAUUUUUUUUUGAUAAAUUGGACAAAAAAAAGUUCCCCUUGAUUGCUAGCUCAAAUGAGGUAAUAUGACAUAAAAUAAAAUAUAAAAUAAAAUAUUCAAAAAUGCAUUUGAAGGAAUUCAAAAGGGAGGUUGAUUAAUACUUUCCCCCUCGAUUGCUAGGUCAAUCGAGAUAAUAGAUCAUUAAUAAAAAUAAAAUAUAAAAUAAAAGAUGAUAAAAUGCAAUUGUUAGGAUUGGAAGGCAUGUCUCCUUAGUAUUUUUCCCUCGGUUGUCAUGUUGAUGAAAUUCAAACGCUUAUACGCUAAAUACUUUUUUCCUUGGUUGUCAAUUCAACUGAGAUAAUAAGUCAUAAAUAAAAGUAUUUCAAAAUAAAUAAAAUUUGCUAUAAUGAAAUUGUCGGAACUAGUAAGUGUGUCUCCUAAAUACUUUUUCCUUCAUUUUUUAGCUCAAUGAAAUGAAAGAUUUGAUAUAGAAUAUAUUAUUUAUAGUAGGGUUUGUUUUGUUUGUUUUGUUUUUCUCUUAUUACUCCGGUUCAUUCCUGCUUGCCACCUCCAAUCAUCUUGUAGUUCAUAGAGUGUGUGUGUGUGUGAUGUUUUGUUGAUUUUGUGGUUGUUAUUUUGUGUGAAAUUGGUCGAAGAUUGGUGUUGAUUAGUGAUGUUGGGCCAGUUUGUUUUACCUUUAAAAAAAUGGAUUUUUUCUUUGUAUUUUUGAAGAUGGAUUCUACAAAAAUGUUUUUCAAAAUAUUACAAGUUUUUUUUAAUUUAUUUUUUAUAAAUUAAAAGAUUAAAUUGUUCAUUCAAUAACAUAAAUAUACAUUAUUGAAGAUCAAAACAUAGUCAAAAUCACAAUUUUUUCAAAAAAUUGUAUCUCAAAAAUGAUUUUCAUGAAAAGCUAUUUAAAAUAGCUUCAAAAUUAAGUGAUUUUUUGAAAUUUUGAUAUCCAAUUUUUUUUCGAUAAAAUAAUGAAAUAACUAAAAUAACAUUUUAAGAAUAACUAUUCAAACCAAAUUUUCAUUUGAAGCUUUUAUGAAAAGUUUCUUUGUAAAUUUUUUUUUACACUAAAAUAUGUAACACUAUAAAAAUCAUUUUUAAAAAAAGCCAAAACAAACGGGUCCGUUGUUGGUUAGUGUCUGAUUUUAGGUUUUAGGUUUAUGAAAAUUAGAAAGAGGUUGGAGCUAUCUCUUUAGCAUUUUUCAUUAAUAAUGUUUCAAUUAAAAAUAUAAUACAUCAAGAAUAACAAUCAUACAUUACAAAAAAUAAAAUAACGAUCAUGAACAAGAGAAUUGACAUAUUCAAAACAACAUCGAGAAUAACCCCAUAACAAACUCUAGACUCAGAAAACCAUAAACCUUGCUUUAAUUUAUUCUUCAAAUGUAGUCUUUUAAUUUUUGACUGGAAAAGAAGCAUGAACAUUGGUUCCACACACUCCAUACUCUUUAUUAUAGUCUCUUUUGUUCCACAUAUAACCCUGUAUUUCCCAUGUUAUCCCAUGUGAGUUCUUCACAAUCCAAUAAUCUUCAUUGUUUUCGGAAUUAUAACCCACUAUUACCAUGCUGUGAGUUACAUUCAUAGGAUCCAACGGGCAAUAUUCAUCUUUAAAUAUUCCCUGUUAAUGGAUAAAUACGUUCUUCAUUAACAAAUGUAAAAAUACUUGAAAACACUGUAGGAGAUGUUUAAAUUAUAGUUGCAAUCGCAGUUGUGUAUGUGUCAAUCAAUCUUGGUAGACUCUUCCAUUUUCUUUCUUCCAUACUUGAAAUAAUUCUAUAACAUCAUCUUCAUUAGGAAGCUUAUCAAGUAUAAGACCCGACGUGGUGGUGUACUUACUCGUUGGGAUCUCAAAUUUUGAAGGUAUAAUUAAGAUAUCUUCAUUUUCAUUAGGUUUUUUCUUUUGAAUAGCAAAGUAUAAACAUAAGCAUGCAGUGAAGAUGAUGAACAGGAGAAAUCGGUUUGAGGUGUAGGAAAUCUUCAUUUUUUGUUAGAAAAAAGUUGAAGAUAAAUGUUUGUGUGGAAAGAUAUGUAUUCUUUAAAAGCCAAUUCCAC
Molecule: long non-coding RNA, 7806 nt
Filed under: Lathyrus oleraceus (garden pea)
Lineage: Eukaryota; Viridiplantae; Streptophyta; Magnoliopsida; Fabales; Fabaceae
Description: Pisum sativum (pea) long non-coding RNA (PSAT_LNC034782)
Source: RNAcentral